UGAGAUAAAAAAAUUGUAUAAAAUGGAGCCAAUUACUCGUUCGUUUAACUCAAUUGUUAUCUAAAUCGUGCCAAGAUCGUACGUAUUACGUGUCGUGUUUGACUUCUUCAAGAAUUUUUUUUAGUGAUCGAACAUAUUUUGUUGACGGUUGUGGAAUUCGAUUUUUUGCGAAAGAAAAUCUCGUAUUGAAUCAUCGUAGACGAAUUAUUUUUGAAUUUUUAAUCUCGUCUUUCAAUUGCUGGAAUAUUUGGAUUCAUUUUUCCCCGAAAUUGAAACAUGAAUUUCAAGCUGUUAUUCUUCGUUUUUGGAAUCGUAAUGCUAUUUGCGUCGUCGCCGAUAUUAGCCGACGACGAUGGACUUUCAAAAUACAAGACUAAAGCGGAAUGCGAUACGAUGUGCAAAAGAGAAUGCGAUGCUAAAGACAUGUACUAUUGGGAAUGUUCACGUACUUUGGACCGUAUGUACGAAUGUGAUUGCCCGGAAUUCUGGUGAAGUUGAUUUGUAGUCUCAGUAUCAUGUCCAUGGAUUUUGUAGAUCAGGUUAUAUUGUUGCUGAAUUUUGAAUUUUUAUAUUGUGUAUGUGGUAUGUGCUCGUGGAUAUACUGAUUAAAGAAAAUGUCAAACUGUU
Planococcus citri (citrus mealybug) is the source of this 627-nucleotide long non-coding RNA. RefSeq lists it as uncharacterized. The transcript is spliced from 2 exons. NCBI's taxonomy places the organism in Eukaryota, Metazoa, Arthropoda, Insecta, Hemiptera, Pseudococcidae. The record is from RefSeq and is a predicted model, not a curated record.